RNAcentral lists this ribosomal RNA (684 nucleotides) under uncultured bacterium. Its description in RNAcentral is "bacterial SSU rRNA". It matches the Rfam family "Bacterial small subunit ribosomal RNA", at positions 9 to 690 of the family's 1533-position model. The record is from RNAcentral.
GAGUUUGAUCCUGGCUCAGGAUGAACGCUGGCGGCGUGCCUAACACAUGCAAGUCGAACGGGGUCAUUAAGGAAAAAUCCUUCGGGAUUCGGAAUUCUUGACCUAGUGGCGGACGGGUGAGUAACGCGUGAGCAAUCUGCCUUUGGAUGGGGGAUAACAGCCGGAAACGACUGCUAAUACCGCAUAAUGCAGCAGGACCGCAUGGUUUUGCUGCCAAAGAUUUAUCGUCCAAAGAUGAGCUCGCGUCUGAUUAGCCAGUUGGCGGGGUAACGGCCCACCAAAGCGACGAUCAGUAGCCGGACUGAGAGGUUGAACGGCCACAUUGGGACUGUGAUACGGCCCAGACUCCUACGGGAGGCAGCAGUGGGGAAUAUUGGGCAAUGGGCGCAAGCCUGACCCAGCAACGCCGCGUGAAGGAAGAAGGCUUUUGGGUUGUAAACUUCUUUUGACAGGGAAGAGCAGAAGACGGUACCUGUCGAAUAAGCCACGGCUAACUACGUGCCAGCAGCCGCGGUAAUACGUAGGUGGCAAGCGUUGUCCGGAUUUACUGGGUGUAAAGGGCGUGUAGCCGGGCUGACAAGUCAGAUGUGAAAUCCGGGGGCUCAACCCCCGAACUGCAUUUGAAACUGUUGGUCUUGAGUAUCGGAGAGGCAGGCGGAAUUCCUAGUGUAGCGGUGAAAUGCG